UACGGGGGGGGCAAGCGUUGUUCGGAAUUACUGGGCGUAAAGGGCGCGUAGGCGGCCUUCUAAGUCGGACGUGAAAUCCCUCGGCUUAACCGAGGAACUGCGUCCGAUACUGAAAGGCUUGAAUCCGGGAGAGGGAUGUGGAAUUCCAGGUGUAGCGGUGAAAUGCGUAGAUAUCGUAAGGAAGACCAGUGGCGAAGGCGGGUCUCUGGACAGUUCCUGACGCUGAGGCACGAAGGUCAGGGGAGCAAACGGG
Molecule: ribosomal RNA, 253 nt
Filed under: uncultured bacterium
Lineage: Bacteria
Description: partial 16S ribosomal RNA
Rfam family: Bacterial small subunit ribosomal RNA
Source: RNAcentral